UAAACCUUAAUAAGAUUUGCAACCAAACACAACUAAAAUAUCAGCAAGUGAAAGACAUUAAAAAUUGGGUAAGUAUAAAAACCACACUGCUGCAGGAAACAAAUUGAAGCCAAAGCAGAUUGCAUUUAUUUGUUUUUUUCCAGAAAUCUGUCAAUAGAGGGAGCCAAUAGAAGCUUUUGUUACUGGACCCAGGAAUAAAGAGGCAAGGCAUAGGUGGUGGGUGGAACUAGGCCCACAUUUUAUUCAAAACUAUUAUCUACAGGGAAAAUGAGAAGAGCAGAAAGCUAUCUUUGACCUUAAGAGAGCCAAACCCUGCCCAUUCCACGGACUGUGACAAGGCAUAGCCCCAAAGCCUGGGCCCCACUUCAUGUUAUUCAAAGGUGCUUCGUUUUGCCUGCAACGCGUCCCUGGGGAUGUCAAAGGUUGAGGGCAGCGUGGAGUAUACAAUUGCAAGUCUGAAUGCAAGCGAAAACAAGAAUUCAUGCCUCAGAUCUGUGUGGCAAAGUUAUAGAUUGCCUGGGGGAUGUCAGCUGCUUCUACCCGCAGGCUCUCCUCUGCUCGGAGAUGCAAUGCUACGGUAGGUGCCCACACUGUCAGUCUCACACCACUUUCUUGGUUUAAGUGAAAACUGGAGCUUAAGGAUUCUGCCAGGUAAAUGGAGAGCACUGUAAAAGUGCAAGUGAAGCCAACCCCUCCCGUGACGAUGGUGUCUUUGCAAAGCAUUUGUGCCUGGAGGAGCAGGGGACAGGGGACAAUAAAUCGUACGCCGUGACAUUUAUUACUUAUAGUGAAACUAAGAAGCACAUUCCAACUUCUGCAAAGAGGGUACACUAAGCAACAGC
This is a non-coding RNA of Podarcis muralis (Common wall lizard), 842 nucleotides long. The record is from RefSeq and is a predicted model, not a curated record. Lineage: Eukaryota; Metazoa; Chordata; Lepidosauria; Squamata; Lacertidae.